AUGGUUAGGCAAGAAAUCUGUGACACUAGCCAUCAUGACCAUCUUAAACCAAAGGAAAAAAUGUCCCCAUCUUUGAAAAAUGUUUGUAAAGGAAUUCACAAAUACUAUACCAGGAAGAAGAGAAUAUUCCUGUGAGUUUUAAGCUAUAAUGAGCCUGACCACUCCACAAAGACACUGAUAGCAAAGUAUACCUAACUGGCCUUCAGCCCAAGGAUUUCCAGGCUCUGAGCCCCUUGGUGUUGUAAGAUUUCAUUCUUCUUUUCAUGUGGAAGUGCACAGGAUAGGAUCAAGGGGUGGGUGAGUGGAGGCCUGGUGACAGUCUUAGAACAUAUUUUUAAGGCCACUUUAGGUAUUCUGUUUCAUUGUUGUUGUGUUUUGUUUUUUUGUUUCUUUCUUUCUUUCUAAAUUAUCUUUCAGAUCCAGAGAUGUGGACCAGGAGCAUGUUUUGAAUUGCCUAGAGGCAUUCACUCUCUUUUUGAAACCUGAUUCCAAGAUUUACCAUAACAAUAUAAUAAAAUUGUUUCUAUCCCCUAGGAAGCA
This 540-nucleotide long non-coding RNA is filed under the name Vulpes vulpes (red fox). Its description in RNAcentral is "lncRNA (ENSVVUG00000007420.1)". The record is from RNAcentral. Lineage: Eukaryota; Metazoa; Chordata; Mammalia; Carnivora; Canidae.